GCUUGAGCACGUAGGUGGGUUUGUAAGUCAGAUGUGAAAGCCUUCUGUUCAACGGAAGAAUUGCAUCUGAAACUACUAAUCUUGAGUAUAGGAGGGGAGAAUGGAACUUCUGGUGGAGCGGUGAAAUGCGUAGAUAUCAGAAGGAACGCCGGCGGCGAAAGCGAUUCUCUGGCCUAUUACUGACACUCAGUGUGCGAAAGCUAGGGGAGCAAACGGGAUUAGAUACCCCGGUAGUCCUAGCCGUAAACGAUGGGCACUAAGUAGAGGGGAUUACCUAUGUUCUCUCUGCCGUAGCUAACGCAUUAAGUGCCCCGCCUGGGGAGUACGGCCGCAAGGCUAAAACUCAAAAGAAUUGACGGGGGCUCGCACAAGCGGUGGAGCAUGUGGCUUAAUUCGAUGCAACGCGAAAAACCUUACCGGGGCUUGACAUGAUAGAAGUAGGAACCUGAAAGGGGGACGAACGGUAUCCAGUCCGUAGCUAUUACAGGUGUUGCAUGGCUGUCGUCAGCUCGUGUCGUGAGACGUUGGGUUAAGUCCCCUAACGAGCGAAACCCUUGUUUUUAGUUACCAGCGGGUUAUGCCGGGUACUCUAGAAAGACUGCCGUCGUCAAGACGGAGGAAGGUGGGGAUGACGUCAAGUCAUCAUGGCCCUUAUGCCCCGGGCUGCACACGUGCUACAAUGGUCGGUACAGACGGAAGCGAAGCCGAGAGGUGAAGCGAAUCCAAGC
This 728-nucleotide ribosomal RNA is filed under the name uncultured Planctomycetota bacterium. RNAcentral's name for it is "bacterial SSU rRNA". It matches the Rfam family "Bacterial small subunit ribosomal RNA", at positions 558 to 1278 of the family's 1533-position model. The record is from RNAcentral. Lineage: Bacteria; Pseudomonadati; Planctomycetota.